RNAcentral lists this transfer RNA (72 nucleotides) under Camelus bactrianus (Bactrian camel). It matches the Rfam family "tRNA". Rfam says of the family: Transfer RNA (tRNA) molecules are approximately 80 nucleotides in length. Their secondary structure includes four short double-helical elements and three loops (D, anti-codon, and T loops). Further hydrogen bonds mediate the characteristic L-shaped molecular structure. tRNAs have two regions of fundamental functional importance: the anti-codon, which is responsible for specific mRNA codon recognition, and the 3' end, to which the tRNAs corresponding amino acid is attached (by aminoacyl-tRNA synthetases). tRNAs cope with the degeneracy of the genetic code in two manners: having more than one tRNA (with a specific anti-codon) for a particular amino acid; and 'wobble' base-pairing, i.e. permitting non-standard base-pairing at the 3rd anti-codon position. The record is from Rfam by way of RNAcentral. Lineage: Eukaryota; Metazoa; Chordata; Mammalia; Artiodactyla; Camelidae. RNAcentral also lists the same sequence under 2 other names.
GAGGGCAGAGCUCAGUGGUAGAGCACAUGCUUAGCACACACGAGGUCCUGGGUUCAAUCCCUGGUACCUUAG